Long non-coding RNA from Arabidopsis thaliana (thale cress), 220 nucleotides. RefSeq annotates it as other RNA. The transcript has a single exon. Lineage: Eukaryota; Viridiplantae; Streptophyta; Magnoliopsida; Brassicales; Brassicaceae. The record is from RefSeq.
GCAAACUGCACAAAAUACAAAAUCUGGUUAAAAAACAAUCACCAAUAUCCCUUGAAGAAUAUAUACUUGAUCCAGAUUCAUGUGCUAAAACUGACAGAGAAGCAAUGCCCUUGGUUUUUCUAGUCAAUGUUUUUGGUUCUCGAACUGAUAUAAUAGUAACAGAAUAUAGAGAACGCAGAAUAAAAAUCUUAUCUUACACUAAAAGCUGUCUUCAUCACUG